This 842-nucleotide ribosomal RNA is filed under the name Limosilactobacillus reuteri. RNAcentral's name for it is "bacterial SSU rRNA". It matches the Rfam family "Bacterial small subunit ribosomal RNA", at positions 20 to 818 of the family's 1533-position model. Lineage: Bacteria; Bacillati; Bacillota; Bacilli; Lactobacillales; Lactobacillaceae. The record is from RNAcentral.
UCUCUCAGGAUGAACGCUGGCGGUGUGCCUAAUACAUGCAAGUCGUACGCACUGGCCCAACUGAUUGAUGGUGCUUGCACCUGAUUGACGAUGGAUCACCAGUGAGUGGCGGACGGGUGAGUAACACGUAGGUAACCUGCCCCGGAGCGGGGGAUAACAUUUGGAAACAGAUGCUAAUACCGCAUAACAACAAAAGCCACAUGGCUUUUGUUUGAAAGAUGGCUUUGGCUAUCACUCUGGGAUGGACCUGCGGUGCAUUAGCUAGUUGGUAAGGUAACGGCUUACCAAGGCGAUGAUGCAUAGCCGAGUUGAGAGACUGAUCGGCCACAAUGGAACUGAGACACGGUCCAUACUCCUACGGGAGGCAGCAGUAGGGAAUCUUCCACAAUGGGCGCAAGCCUGAUGGAGCAACACCGCGUGAGUGAAGAAGGGUUUCGGCUCGUAAAGCUCUGUUGUUGGAGAAGAACGUGCGUGAGAGUAACUGUUCACGCAGUGACGGUAUCCAACCAGAAAGUCACGGCUAACUACGUGCCAGCAGCCGCGGUAAUACGUAGGUGGCAAGCGUUAUCCGGAUUUAUUGGGCGUAAAGCGAGCGCAGGCGGUUGCUUAGGUCUGAUGUGAAAGCCUUCGGCUUAACCGAAGAAGUGCAUCGGAAACCGGGCGACUUGAGUGCAGAAGAGGACAGUGGAACUCCAUGUGUAGCGGUGGAAUGCGUAGAUAUAUGGAAGAACACCAGUGGCGAAGGCGGCUGUCUGGUCUGCAACUGACGCUGAGGCUCGAAAGCAUGGGUAGCGAACAGGAUUAGAUACCCUGGUAGUCCAUGCCGUAAACGAUACUCUUGU